CAAUCCUAUGAGGUUCCCAUUGCCAUGAAGGCUGUAUUUAACUACAUCGACACCUUCUCCUCCCGAAUCCGAGAGAUGGAGCAGCAGAAGAGAGAUGGAGUGGUCUGUAAGAAGGAAGACAAGCCCAGAUCUUUGAAAAACUUUCUCUCCAGGUUCCGAUGGAGACGUCGCCUGUUCAUCAUCUCCGCUCCCAACGACAAGGAGUGGGCCUAUCAGCAGCAGCUCUACGCCCUAAACAGCCAAGCCUGCAAUCUGGAUGGUGAUCUUUUCUAAAAACGAUAGGACAGGUGUGGAGGAGAAUGAAGCAAGAGAAUGGGUUCCUAAGUCUGUGAGCUCAUCUGAAGAUGAUGGGACAGAUGACUGGAUACCCACACAGGAUGAAUCUGAAGGCUAUUCAGAAGAGGAGGAAGAACAAGAACAUAAAAGGAUUCCUAAGAUGCUGGCAGCAUCUGAAGAGGAUGGGACACAUGAUAGUAGACCCACACAGGAUGAAUCUAAAGAUGAUUCAAAAGAUGAAGCAGAACAUUUGGGACAAAUGAUUCACAAAGUGGCCAUGGAAAAGGGGGCGUUUGUGAGCAGUGAGUUGCCGCAGAGGACAGAGGAACAGCAACAGGUUGCUGGCAUCUCUAAGACUCAAAGGCAUCACAAUGUCAGAAAUAGACACAAGUGUCCCAUAUGUGGACAUGUAUAUGCUGAUAUUGUUCAGCACCUAAGAGUCACAGAGAAAGUGGUAAAUGAAAUUGAGCUGCUUCUUUUGAGCCAAUUUUCUCAUCGGCACUUUUCUGCAAAUCUGGACUGUCCAGUCCACUUAUGUCAGUCAAAACAUCUUAAUCGGCUUGAUAAGCACCUGGAAAAGGUCCACAAAUUACAGAAACCUAUGAUUAAACUUUACAUGCAAAAGGCCAAGGACAGAUGCGUUGCUAAGGAACUUGCACUUCUGAGGGCAUCAAAUCCCACACUGCAAAUGGUCUCACAUGUGGGUGAAGUGGAUUAUACAGUGAUUGAGGAGGGCAUCUUUAGGGCACUGGAGGCAAGGUCCAAGGUUGCAUCCCCUAUAGCCUCUUCCAGCAACGCUCCCAGUGACCAUGCUACCCUGAACCAUUGGCCUGCUCCUCCCUCUGACAGCAAGGCUCUGGGUGACUCUACCAGACCAAACCUACAGCCUCCUCUCUCUACCCGUGACCCUCUCAGUGACCACACCAUCCCAAUUAUGCAGCCUCCUUCUAUCUCCACCAGCAAGAUUACUUGUGAUUCAACAGUGGUGUCCCCUGAUUUGUUAAUCCCAAGCAGUGCACCUUACUAUGCAGCAAAGCAAAGGAGGGAAUGUCUUCUCCCGAGGACACCUGCUCCUGGUUGCAAAAACUGUCAGAUACUGUUCACUGAGCUACAGGUGGUGAAGCAGUUGCUAGAGUGUGAAAUUGAAAGGAAUCAUGAGCUCAAGCAGAUACAUUCUUCAACCAAGCAUCCAAAUGUUAAAUAUAGCAGACGUAAACGGUUUUCACCCAGCAAAGCCCCUCACUAUGUAAGACUGGUGGAAGAAUUUAGGGCCCAUGCAGAAGGUGUGAACCCUAGCAUAGAACUACAUGAAAAUGCAAGGCAGCGAGCCACUCAUGUCAUCCGGUUUCUGGAAUUCAUGGCAGACCCAGCAAUUCCAAACGUUGACCUUCUGUUUCUGAGGAACCAUGGAAAAGUCCGUGAUUUUCUAGCACACCUGCAAGCAAAAGGGUUUAAACCAACAACUCAGAGAGCUUAUCUCAUGGAUGCUAUUGCUUUCAUGAAAUAUAUAUUAAACAUGUCACCACCACAAGUCAGACUUGGAAAUAAAAGGAUCAACGCCCUUUUGGUCGAACUGAGGGCACGUAACAGAGAUGUUGGCCGUGAAGUAGUCGUGCACCAGCUGAAUGUGCGGAGAUCUAAGUCUAAAAGACUUGUCAAAGCAGAAAAACAUGCUUUGUUCAUUGAAGAGGCUCCCCAGAAGAUUGCUGCCGCACUGGAUGACCUCGAGAAGCAACCCCAGAACAGAACAAUAUUGAAAUUGUUUUUUGGACUGUUGGGUGGAUACCUCAUUGCCAUAACUGGCCACCGAAAGGGAGUGGUCAUCAACAUGACUACUGAGGAGGUUGAAAUGGCAGAAAAAACUAAGCAGGGUGCCCGCAUCAUCCGUGUUAAACAGCACAAAACUCAAAGAUACCAUGGGGAAGCAGCUGUCCCCCUGUACAAGAAUGAGUAUACCUGGUUGCAGCGUUACAAUCAUAUUAGAGAGUAUAUUGAAGGGGGUUCGGAGGCAUCAACUUUUUUCCACAGUUCCAGUGGAGGUGUUCUUCAUAGACUACUGGAAUUUUUCAAGGCAGCCUGGGAGAUGAUGAAUCUGGGGAUUGCCCCCACCUUCAACAUGAUACGUUCCUCCUGUAGCACUUACGCCAAGCGACAGUUGGGACGUAAAUCUUAUGACAGAGUGGCAACGUUUAUGUGCCAUGAUGCCAUCACAGCCAAAAGAUUUUACCAAGCUGAGGACCCUGCAGAGGACACACUCCAGAGCCGAGCACUGACCACCCAUGCAAUUGCAACAUAUGCAGCAAAGAAAAGGAAAAGGACAGAGGACAGAGGAUCUGUGCAGGACAAGGACAGUGAAGGAUCUGACAAGGAAGAGCAGCAGUCAUCAGGAACAGAGGAGCUUUUAGACAGAAGGCUCUUCCAGUGUAACAGUAACAAGAUGGUCAUCUUUUACAAAAAUGAUAGGACAGGUGUGGGGAAACUCACACAAGAAGACAAUCCACAAGAGGAGGAGGAGGAUGAAGCGAGAGAAUGGGUUCCUAAGUCUGUUAGCUCAUCUGAAGAUGAUGGGACAGAUGACUGGACACCCACACAGGAUGAAUCUGAAGGCUAUUCAGAAGAGGAGGAAGAACAAGAACAUAAAAGGAUUCCUAAGGUAGCCAAGAAAAACAAAACUGGGUGUCCUGUGCCACAAAGAGAGAUGGCAGCAGCAUCUGAAGAGGAUGGGACACAUGAUAGCAGACCCACACAGGAUGAUUCAAAGGAUGAAGCAGAACAUUUGGGACAAAUGAUUCACAAAGUGUCCAUGGAAAAGGACAGGGAAACGGCGAUAAGCUUAUUACCAGUACAACACCAAAUUCCAGUUGUUACUCUGAAUUCAGUCACUCUCAAGACACCCAUGAAGGACAAGGUCGCACUGGAGGUCCCUCCUGGUAUGCAGCAGGCCUAUGUAAACCAAGACACAGCAAGGACUGUGAAUAAGAGUUCAGAAAAAAGUGUGAUUCACCAAACCAGUUACUUGAAGAGGCUCAUUUUUCAUCAGUCAACUCUCUUUGAAGACACCAUACCAAGAUCUGAUAACAACAAGAAAGACCAAAGUGGAAUGUCAUCUGCAGCAAUAAUAACCUCAGAACAACUGGAAGAGAAAGAGAUACAAGAAGAAUCUCUGGAGAAGAUGAAGUGUGAAGACAAAGGAGGGAAGAGAAAAGAAAAAGUACAGCAGGAGCCUCUGGAGAAGAUGAGGGGCAAAAGGCAAAGGAAGGAAGAAAAGAUACAGGCAGAGCCUCUGGAGAAGAUGAAGAGUGAAGCCAAAGUAGGAAAGAGAAAAGAAAAAGUACAGCAGGAGCCUCUGGAGAAGAUGAGGAGCAAAAGGCAAAGGAAGGAAGAAAAGAUACAGGCAGAGCCUCUGGAGAAGAGAAUUAAGAUUAUGAAAUAAAAGAAGGAAAAAUCCACAGAGUUCUCAAAGAAAUGGCGAGAGAAAGUCUCAGAAAAUAAGGUGCAUGAAAGAGUUGUUAAUUAAAAGUGAUCAUCUAAUGAGUUACUGUCAUGUUUAUUUUCUGGAAUCACUGGUGCUCUCAGACUUGACAUUAUAUAAUUCCACCAUAUGUGAGAUCAGUCAAAUUAAGAAAGGAAUCAAAAUAGCUAUACCAAUGGCUGCAGAAAAGUGACAGUGGUCAAACAACAUCAUUGAGCAUGACAAAACACUUUUGAAGACAGCAGUCUCCAGAUACCUCAUCAUUGAAGACAAAUGACACACAUCUAUUGUGGAGAAAAUUCGGUUCAAAUCAAUUUUAUUUAUAUAGCGGCAAAUCACCACAACAUUCGCCUCAAGGCACUUUAUAUUGUAAGGUAGACCCUACAAUAAUACAUACAGAUAUAAACCCAACAAUCAUAUGACCCCCUAUGAGCAAGCACUUUGGCGACAGUGGGAAGGAAAAACUCCCUUUUGACAGGAAGAAACCUCCAGCUGAACCAGGCUCAGGGAGGGGCGGGGCCAUCUUCUGCGACCGGUUGGGCUGAGAGAAGGAAGACAGGAUAAAGACAGAAGAGAGACAGAGAUUAAUAACAGAUAUGAUUCAAUGCAGAGAGGUCUAUUAAUACAUGGUUAGUGAGAAAGGUGACUGAAGAAGAAAUGCUCAAUGCAUCAUUGGAAUCCCCCAGCAGCCUACACCUACAGCAGCAUGACUAAGGGAGGAUUCAGGGUCACCUGAUCCAGUCUUAACUAUAUACUUUAGCAAAAUGGAAAGUUUUAAGCCUAAUCUUGAAAGUAGAGAUAGUGUCUGUCUCCAAAAUCCAAACUGGUUCCACAGAAGAGGGGCCUGAAAAGUGAAGGCUCUUCCUCCCAUUCUACUUUUAAAUACUCUAGGAGCAACAAGUAAGCCUGCAGUGCGAGAGCAAAGUGCUCUAAUAGGGUGAUAUGGUACUACAAGGUCAUUAAGAUAAGAUGAGGGCCUGAUUAUUUAAGACCUUGUAUGUGAGGAGCAGGAUUGUUAAAUUCAAUUCUGGAUUUAACAGGAGCCAAUGAAGAGAAGCCAAAACAGGAGAAAUAUGCUCUCUCUUUCUAGUCCCUGUCAGUACUCUUGCUGCAGCAUUUUGGAUUAAAUGAAGGCUUUUCAGGCAGUUUUUAGGACAUCCUGAUAAUAAUGAAUUACAGUAGUCCAGCCUAGAAGUAAUGAAUGCAUGAACUAGUUUUCCAGCGUCGCGCUGAGACAGGAUAUUUCUAGAGAUGUUGCGCAAAUGAAAGAAAGCAGUCCUACAUAUUUGUUUAAUAUGUGCAUUGAGGACAUAUCCUGGUCAAAAAUUACUUCAAGGUUCCUCACAGUGUCACUAGAGGCCAAGGUAAUGCCAUCCAGAGUAAGAAUCUGGUUAGAUACCAUAUUUCUAAAAUUUUCAGGGCUGAAUACAAUAACUUCAGUUUUAUCUGAAUUUAGAAGCAGAAAAUUAGAGGUCAUCCAGGUCUGCCCUGGGACAAACUUGUUGGACUUACAACAGAUGGAGCGCCCACAAUGUGUGGUGAAAAAAGUGAACUAUUCGGCAGGAUUCGAGUAAAAGAUGCAGGAUGUGAACUAUACGGGUGAGUUAACAGCAUAUCACUGCAUCACACACCAGCAAACGCUGUGUAGUAAAGUCCUAAAAAUGGAGCAUGUAAUGAGUACUGUAACGCAAAAGGUCAAUUUUAUUCUAGCUAAAGGUUUAAAUUACUGUCAAUUUCAGUCUUUUGUGCAGGAAAUAGAUUCAGAGUUUGCCGACAUGCCUUAUCAUACAGAGGUCCAUUGGCUGAGUUGGGGAAAAGUUCUCAAUAGUGUGUGGUGGCAGAUUUCUUUUCUCAUAUAUUAAUCACAUAUUUAAUUAUAUCACAUUAGUUAUAGUAAUAUCACUUUCUCACUUUACCAUAGUAAGAGCACUCCUGCCCAGGUAGAUGUUAUUUUAUAUAUUAUGAUUUGUAUGUUGUUCAGUAUAUUUCUAUGCAAAACAAGAGGAAUUUCAAUACACAGCAGUAUAUUCACAGUUUAAACCAGAUAUUUACAUACACUUUAUGGAAAACACAAGAACAUUUUUUUACUGUACAACAUCAAUUUAGAGUAAACUUGUUUUGUUUUGGAUAAAUAUUGAAAUAUCUUUUGAAUUAGUUAAAUGUCAGAAUAAAGAGAGACAGAGCUGUCUAUUUUUAUCACUUUCAUCAAGUUUAGAAGUACAUAUACACUAAGUUUAUUGUUCAUUAAUAAGAAAACUGCAGACGAUUCCAUUCUGAGCUUAAGAAGCUUCUGAUAGGUUAGUAGAGUCCAUGUGAGUAAAUUGAUGGCACACCUGUGCCAUCAAUUUACAUAUAAGGUAAGGUGUUUUGCCUUGUGCAUAUAAGGCAAAACACAGAGCCUGUUUCUUUGACAUGGGAAAAUCAAGAGAUGUCAACCAAAACACCAGGAAAAGAAUUGUGGAGCUCCAUAAGUGUGGCUCAAUUUUGAAUACAAUUUGGUGCCAUUUACAAUUAAGAAAUACAGAUAGUUUCUGUCUUUACUCUUAAAGUUAACAAAUAUGUUUUUUAUGUUUAUCAAUCUAAAAAAAAAUAAACAUUUAGUCUGAUUUGAUGUUACAAUUAAAAAAGUGUGUUUUUAUCUGAAGAGUAUGUAAAUAUCUGGUUUCAACUGUAUAUUUGAUGAUGUUGGUGUUUGGCUUGAUUGUCAGCACAAAGAGGGAGAGAGAGGAACAGAGACGGAGAGAGAGGAAGAGAGAGGGAGAGAGAGGAGCAGAGAGGGAACAAGAGCAGGUGAGACAGACAUGUUAGUCAAAUGGUUGUUUACCAAAAGUAUCACCGUAUCAUAGGUACUCAUGUAUCUCGUACCUAGUGUUUCUUUUUAGGUGUGUUAGUUUUCAAAUUCUAUAUUUAUUAAGUUAUGCAGGCUUGUUUGCACAACAAGGCUAAAUAAUUAUGUAAACUUUUCUGAAUCUAAAUAGUGUACUUUGGUAGAAUUAAAAAACAAGUGUAGUGCAGGUCUAUGAUGAUUUUCAGUGCUACUAUCAUCUAGUUUUGAUUCUGGUUCUGUUUUGGUUGAGUCCUAAGUAGUCCUGAUUUUGAACUGAUGUAGUCCUGUUUUAAUUCCGGAUCAGUUCUGGGUCUGGUUGAAUUGAGGCUCAGUCCUCGUGUCUUGAUACAGCCCCGACUUUGUUCUGCCUUGCUGCUUAAUUAAAAAACUAGUUUAAGGUGUCCUGCAUAUGUGAUAUAUAUUUUUCCCUAUAUGAAGUCAUUCUUUUUUGAACAAAACUCAAAACAGAGCCUAUUACUCUUUCAGUCAUUACUCCCCCCACCCCCCACCCCAAUCUCACAUGCAUACUACCCUUUAUGGCUAAUCCCCGGGUGUAUCAAAUGUCUGCCUCCGCCUCUGCUCCUGCCACUACUUUACAGGCAUGUGGAAAGUUAACACAGUGAGGCCAUUGUAAUGGGAUACAUUAAACAGAUAGUGAGAUACUCUAGGUUGCAGGACAAGAGUUUAACCUUUGUGAAGGGAAAAAAAAAGAGAUUCUGGUUUGACCAACC
Molecule: long non-coding RNA, 7306 nt
Organism: Oreochromis niloticus (Nile tilapia)
Lineage: Eukaryota; Metazoa; Chordata; Actinopteri; Cichliformes; Cichlidae
Source: Ensembl